Aedes albopictus (Asian tiger mosquito) is the source of this 58-nucleotide non-coding RNA. NCBI's taxonomy places the organism in Eukaryota, Metazoa, Arthropoda, Insecta, Diptera, Culicidae. The record is from Rfam.
UAGCCUAGUGGUUAAGGCUAUGGAUCGACAAUCUGGAGAAGGCGGGUUCGAUUCCCGU